GCCGCCUUAGCUCAGUUGGUAGAGCAAUGUCUUCGUAAGACAUGGGUCCCCGGUUCAAAUCCGGGAGGCGGCU
This 73-nucleotide transfer RNA is filed under the name Candidatus Kaiserbacteria bacterium. RNAcentral describes it as "tRNA-Thr". It matches the Rfam family "tRNA". Rfam says of the family: Transfer RNA (tRNA) molecules are approximately 80 nucleotides in length. Their secondary structure includes four short double-helical elements and three loops (D, anti-codon, and T loops). The record is from RNAcentral. Lineage: Bacteria; Candidatus Kaiseribacteriota.